Molecule: long non-coding RNA, 2212 nt
Organism: Herpailurus yagouaroundi (jaguarundi)
Lineage: Eukaryota; Metazoa; Chordata; Mammalia; Carnivora; Felidae
Exons: 2
Source: RefSeq, a predicted model, not a curated record
AGCCUGGGCGCGUGCACAGCUCGCUUGUCUCCCUGAGGCGGACGCUGAUUGGCUGCAGUGUGGACCGCAUCUACUGAGCAUUCUCAACAUCCUAGGCGGCACCUAGGACAGCUCCACUUGCUCCCUCCAGCCUCGCACCCACCGCUGAUUGGCUGCGAAGCUCCCUCCCGCCCUGCUUGCUGUGCGGAGUGGCAGGGCUUUGAGUCUAAUUGGUCCGCGGACUCAGGUUUCAGGUCUCUAAGACAGAUCUUAUCCUCUAGCCCGUCCCCCACCCCUUCUAAUUGGCUGCGGAAUUUGCUCUUCCUCCGUCCCCCUAUGAAAAAACUAGGCCCCGAACCUCUUUCGCUAACAGCCUUGGAAUCUUCCUCUGCAAGGGCUCAGGAUACCACCAGUUCUUUGCUCCUGUCUUGCCAACGAGUGGCUCUCGUUGCAAACCCUUUCAUCUCUCUCUCUCAACCCCUGACAGUCUAUGAAAUGUAUGUCUGUGAUUGGUUGGGAGGCCCUCAAGAGCCAGCCGGGAUUCAGGUGCCUGUGGGCAGCUCCCCUUUCCUGCCUCUUGCCUUGCUUCACUACUGAUUGGCUGCAGAACGCCCCCUGCCUCACCUGGACGUAUGCGGGGGCAGGGAAGGCACCAGAGGGGCAGUGCCUUGACCCGUGAUUGGUCAAAUGCUCAUUGCCUGUCAGCUGAGGCAGGGUUAACUGCGUACUUCACGUACCAGCCUCCCCUGACCGCCCCACAACCCCACCCCAGCCAACACACCAGAGAGAAUGGCCCAUUGCUUUGCCCCACCAUUAAGUUGGUCAGAGCUAAGAGCCCAGCCAGCUGGCGUUCUACCCAGGAAGGGCUGUAGUGCUGACAGGCGACUAGCGCGAACGGCGCCAGUCCGAGAGCACUACUUGCCUCUCUCCUUCCAUGAGCUCGGCUGCGGUUGCACUGCUGAUUGGCUGGCUCCACUCUCUUCUAAGUGGCUUAGCCUUGCGUUCGCGCAGGGACACAUCCAAUGAGGAGCGAGGGCGCUUUCAGGAGGCGGGCAUUGUUCGACCGGUUCCACUUCUGAUUGGUCCAGGGGCUUGCCUCUUCUCUUUUGAUCGAUCAGAGGGGCGGGAGGCGGGAGCCCAGCUCAACGGUUAUCAGGCGGCAGUUGGAGUUCUGUCCCUGUGCUUCAAAUUUCAGCUUCAGGGCUCGGUGGAGUGUUGUCUGGCGCCUACUUCCCCGUAGCUAGCUGAGGAACUGGGGAGGGAACACGGGGGCAGGAGGACCUGGGACUGUCGCUGCAGCUCCCAGUCGGGAUGGAGACCGACUGAGGCGAGUGGCGGACCGGCGGGUGCAAACCGCUCAAAAAGCUGGAAGAGUCAGGUGCUGUAAUAGUAGUAACAGCAGCUCCCGCUCACCGAGCCCUUUUGGUGUACCGCUGUGCGUGCAUCAUCUCACUGACUCCUUCUACAUAACCCUGUGAGGGAGCAGAUUACUCUGCCGGUUAACCUCCAAGGGUCAUUUGUCGCCCACAGCGAAAGCCGGCAUUGCUGGAACUCCGACCUUGUUCUAGAGAGUCCGGCAUUCGAGCUACACUAUGAUUAAGUAGGGUUGAUUUUGUAGAUGUGGGGUGGGGCCUGAUGUGAUCACCUUGGCCCUGGCUUACCUCGUCCAUACAUGAAGGUGUUUGGGUUUUGGUUUUGGACUAGGAUCUGAUCCUGAAGGCUUCACUCAGUACAUAUGCUCAAGCCCUCAAACUUUUAGAGAAUGGUUUAACCCUUCCUGGCAAUGCUGCAAGCCCUGCCACGUGAACAAACUUGGGCUGGCCUGCGGUAGACACAUGGCCCAGUUCAGAGCCAUUACCCCAGCCACCUACACCCACUGCCAGCCAGCCAUACAUGUGAGUGAAACCACCCCAGACCAAACAGCCCCCAGUCACUAGCUGACUGCAGCUGCGAGAGUCAGCCCAGGUGAGACCAACUGGAGAACUGAACUGCCUGGCUGGGCUCAGCCCAAAUGGUCCAGAAGAAUCAGGAGCUACAAAAUAAUAAUUAUUUUAAGCCACUGUGUUUCGGGUGGUUAAAAAAAAAGCUAACUGACAUACCCUGGACCAGAGUAGUUUCUAGGCAACAAAUAUCACUUACCUGGAUUCUGGGUCUUGAAAGUUGAAAAAUUCCUUCUGUUUCCAGACUGGUUUCUUCGAUUUUUUGAACGAAUUUUUAUGAGAUGAACUUAUUU